UCCGUAGGUGAACCUGCGGAAGGAUCAUUACAGUAU
This 36-nucleotide ribosomal RNA is filed under the name Debaryomyces hansenii. RNAcentral's name for it is "partial 18S ribosomal RNA". Lineage: Eukaryota; Fungi; Ascomycota; Pichiomycetes; Serinales; Debaryomycetaceae. The record is from RNAcentral. RNAcentral also lists the same sequence under 1 other name.